This 253-nucleotide ribosomal RNA is filed under the name uncultured bacterium. Its description in RNAcentral is "partial 16S ribosomal RNA". It matches the Rfam family "Bacterial small subunit ribosomal RNA", at positions 524 to 776 of the family's 1533-position model. The record is from RNAcentral.
UACAGAGGUCCCGAGCGUUGUUCGGAUUCAUUGGGCGUAAAGGGUGCGUAGGCGGCGUGGUAAGUCUGAUGUGAAAUCCUGGGGCUCAACCCCAGAACUGCAUUGGAUACUGCCAUGCUAGAGUACUGGAGAGGAAACUGGAAUUUACGGUGUAGCAGUGAAAUGCGUAGAGAUCGUAAGGAAGACCAGUGGCGAAGGCGAGUUUCUGGACAGUAACUGACGCUGAGGCACGAAGGCCAGGGGAGCAAACGGG